CACGUAAUCAAGUGUUUGAGCUCCCCCUACGACCGAAGCACCGAAAAACUUCCACAUCUUUUAAACCAAAUUUAACGUUAACCAGAGGCGCCAUAUAUUCCAAGACAGCUACGCUUGCAAGGUUUUAAUCCGCUACAUUUAAUUCACACCCCUUUAAAAAAAUAAAUAAUUAAAUUAACCGCCUGAUUUUUGCAAUUUCAAUCUCUUUAACGUUUUAUUAACGCCGUC
Molecule: long non-coding RNA, 228 nt
Filed under: Carica papaya (papaya)
Lineage: Eukaryota; Viridiplantae; Streptophyta; Magnoliopsida; Brassicales; Caricaceae
Description: long non-coding RNA (CPAP_LNC011278)
Source: RNAcentral